Molecule: long non-coding RNA, 224 nt
Organism: Sander lucioperca (pikeperch)
Lineage: Eukaryota; Metazoa; Chordata; Actinopteri; Perciformes; Percidae
Exons: 3
Source: RefSeq, a predicted model, not a curated record
UGCAGGUUGUAGUGUGUGUAGUUACGGCUGCAUUAGUUACGUACGCUAGUUACGUAAGAAAUCCCCGAGAUUGCCUCGUGUUUCUUUUCAUUAUGGCGGUUGCCUGUACAGAAGUCAGAGACAAUGUAAGUUUGUACUCUUUAUAUUUAGCUAUUGUUGCAGCAGAUUAAACUAUUCCUGAGUUGUUUCAGUCUGCAAUGAGUACUGAAUGUCAGCCUUUUUAC